This 757-nucleotide long non-coding RNA is filed under the name Medicago truncatula (barrel medic). RNAcentral's name for it is "long non-coding RNA (MTRU_LNC004536)". The record is from RNAcentral. Lineage: Eukaryota; Viridiplantae; Streptophyta; Magnoliopsida; Fabales; Fabaceae.
UUAUUACUCUGCUGGUACAUUUUUAGUUUCUUUUACAAUCUUGUAAGGAGCUUUGCUCCAUCUCUCUUUGAUUAAUUUAUUAUUUUGCUAGGAUUACUUUUUGUUAUAAAACUAAUGACACAUGUCUAAGUGAUAAUUCAGUUGACAAAAACAGUGCAUUAUUAUAUGUUGGAGCAGGGGUUCGAAUCCCAACAUCUCACUUAUUUAUUUUAAAAGGUGAAUUCUCUUUGUUUAAUCUUCCGUUUUGGUUACCCGUAAAGGUUAAUAGAGGAAGUAAAAAAUAGUUUUAUCCAACUGUUUUUAUUUCUUUCUUGAAGUAGAGUUUUAUCCUAAUUGUUGUUUUCCAAGUAUCGGUCAUACGGGGGCCUUUUGUUGAAUCAUUAUCAUAGCUCGGUAUAUAAUUUGAUAAGCCAAUGAUUUUUUUUUCUGUGUUAAAUAAUACUGUUAACCAACAUUUUAACUAAUCAAUUACGAUAAAUUGGAUCAGAUUUUGUGGUUUUUUUGGAUCAGAUUAUGCGUAAUGUAUUGUAAUAUUGCCAUCAAUUAAGUAUUUGUGUGGUGCAAUCUGUUUCUGUUCAGUGCCAGUUUCUAGCAGCAUCACACUUACAUCUUGCAAGGAUUAUGGAUUGUUUUUUUCACUUACAUCAAUUGAAUCAUUGUUUGGUGAAUCCAAGAAACAGAAGCAGAAUACAAAGCAUUCUAUAUUUGCUUAAAGGCCUUGAUCACAUGCACAGUGAAUUAGAAAAGAAUCGAAUGC